UUGGAGGGCAAGUCUGGUGCCAGCAGCCGCGGUAAUUCCAGCUCCAAUAGCGUAUAUUAAAGUUGUUGCAGUUAAAAAGCUCGUAGUUGAAUUUCGGGAUUGACACAUCGGUCGUGCCUUAAGGGGUAUGAACUGGUGUAGUCAAUUUCUCACCUUCUGGAGAGCCGCGAUGCCCUUAAUUGGGUGUCACGGGGAACCAGGACCUUUACUUUGAAAAAAUUAGAGUGUUUAAAGCAGGCAUUUUGCUUGGAUACAUUAGCAUGGAAUAAUAAAAUAGGACGGCAUGAUUCUAUUUUGUUGGUUUCUAAGAUCACCGUAAUGAUUAAUAGGGAUAGUUGGGGGCAUUAGUAUUCAAUUGUCAGAGGUGAAAUUCUUGGAUUUAUUGAAGACUAACUACUGCGAAAGCAUUUGCCAAGGAUGUUUUCAUUAAUCAAGAACGAAAGUUAGGGGAUCGAAGACGAUCAGAUACCGUCGUAGUCUUAACCAUAAACUAUGCCGACUAGGAAUCAGACGAUGUUUAUUUUUUAAUGACUCGUUUGGCACCUUACGGGAAA
This 554-nucleotide ribosomal RNA is filed under the name Entrophospora etunicata. RNAcentral describes it as "SSU rRNA". It matches the Rfam family "Eukaryotic small subunit ribosomal RNA", at positions 548 to 1097 of the family's 1831-position model. The record is from RNAcentral. Lineage: Eukaryota; Fungi; Glomeromycota; Glomeromycetes; Entrophosporales; Entrophosporaceae.